GUUUCCGUAGUGUAGCGGUUAUCACGUUCGCCACACGCGAAAGGUCUCCAGUUCAAACUUGGCGGAAACA
RNAcentral lists this transfer RNA (70 nucleotides) under Anguilla anguilla (European eel). Its description in RNAcentral is "tRNA-Cys". Lineage: Eukaryota; Metazoa; Chordata; Actinopteri; Anguilliformes; Anguillidae. The record is from RNAcentral.